CCUACAAUGGGCCUUUCUCAAUGUUUGUAACAUACUCAUAAUCUACAAAACGGCAUCUCUGAUAACUAACUCACAUUCUUCAAAGUUUUCGGGUGGAAAUAAGCGAAACCAAGGGGAGGGCAAGGGUCCAGACUGCAAGAAUCUAGCGAUCAGGUAAUACAGCUCUGUGAAAAGGGGAAAAAGAGGUUGAGAGGGAGGUAAAGAAAAACAGAAGCUUUUUCAAAAGAAACUGACAGCCGUCGCGCCAAGCUCCCAUCUCCUUAGCCCCCAGACACAGUUACCCACCGGCUUCGAUCUGGAUAUUCUAGCCCAAGAGCUGAGGAGGCGGAAAGGAGAGCGAGAGAGAGAGAGCAAGAGAGCGAGCAAGAGAGCGAGUGAGCGAGAGCAAGCACGAGCUGGCGAGCCUGAGAGAAGAGAGGGGAGGAGCCGAAGUUGUGGA
This is a long non-coding RNA of Canis lupus familiaris (dog), 439 nucleotides long. RefSeq lists it as uncharacterized. The transcript has 3 exons. The record is from RefSeq and is a predicted model, not a curated record. Lineage: Eukaryota; Metazoa; Chordata; Mammalia; Carnivora; Canidae.